AAGAUCCUUCCGUGGCACUUAUGAGAAGCCUCUGUGGCCCCGCAAGGGGUACCGCCCGCGACUAUAAACAAGUGGAGCUGGUAUUAAAUCGCAAGUCAGCAAACGCUGGCUACACUUUCGAAUUGCGGGGACACCCUAAAGCCCACCUCUACCAACCGAUCCAGGAAACUGGCACGGGGCCUCUGUUAACAGCACAGGGAAUGGUAAAAACGAGGUCGGAUAAUGCAAACCAGUUUGCAACAUGGGCAAUCCGCAGCCAAGUCCCUAAGGCGUCAGCUAUGGGAAAGGUUCACAGACUAAGUGGAAGUGGGCUGGUUGGUUAAAUGCCACCCAGCUUAAGAUAUAGUCGGGCUGUCUGCGAAAGCAGAUGGGAUAUGUCACACGAGUAGACUGUCCUAGUCCUAUCUUUAGGAUUUAACUCCUACUUGACGCUCAACUGUUCCGUAGGUGAACCUGCGGAAGGAUCAUUA
RNAcentral lists this non-coding RNA (470 nucleotides) under Dactylellina sp. 6175. RNAcentral's name for it is "partial 18S small subunit ribosomal RNA". The stretch from base 56 to 370 matches the Rfam family "Group I catalytic intron". Rfam says of the family: Group I catalytic introns are large self-splicing ribozymes. They catalyse their own excision from mRNA, tRNA and rRNA precursors in a wide range of organisms. RNAcentral also lists the same sequence under 1 other name. The record is from RNAcentral. Lineage: Eukaryota; Fungi; Ascomycota; Orbiliomycetes; Orbiliales; Orbiliaceae.